AGCUUUGCGCAGAGGCGAUAACGUGACCAAUGAGGCUUUGCCGAGGUGCGUGCUGGUUGACAACUUUUCCCAAUUGCCCGCGAUGGCCCCUGAAACACUGGAAUAAAUACUAACUCAGAAGCUCUCAUCAGACA
Ancylostoma duodenale is the source of this 134-nucleotide non-coding RNA. NCBI's taxonomy places the organism in Eukaryota, Metazoa, Nematoda, Chromadorea, Rhabditida, Ancylostomatidae. The record is from Rfam.